RNAcentral lists this non-coding RNA (29 nucleotides) under Mus musculus (house mouse). The record is from RNAcentral. Lineage: Eukaryota; Metazoa; Chordata; Mammalia; Rodentia; Muridae.
UUGGAGUAAAAAGCAUCCAACACAGCUUC